GGAGGGUGCGAGCGUUGUUCGGAAUUAUUGGGCGUAAAGCGCGUGUAGGCGGUUUUUUAAGUCUGAUGUGAAAGCCCUGGGCUCAACCCGGGAAGUGCAUUGGAAACUGGGAGACUUGAAUACGGGAGAGGGUAGUGGAAUUCCUAGUGUAGGAGUGAAAUCCGUAGAUAUUAGGAGGAACACCGGUGGCGAAGGCGGCUACCUGGACCGAUAUUGACGCUGAGACGCGAAAGCGUGGGGAGCAAACAGGAUUAGAUACCCUGGUAGUCCACGCCGUAAACGAUGAGUACUAGGUGUCGCGGGUAUUGACCCCUGCGGUGCCGCAGCUAACGCAUUAAGUACUCCGCCUGGGAAGUACGGCCGCAAGGCUA
RNAcentral lists this ribosomal RNA (371 nucleotides) under uncultured bacterium. Its description in RNAcentral is "bacterial SSU rRNA". It matches the Rfam family "Bacterial small subunit ribosomal RNA", at positions 527 to 896 of the family's 1533-position model. The record is from RNAcentral.